ACACUCCUACGGGAGGCAGCAGUGGGGAAUUUUGGACAAUGGGGGCAACCCUGAUCCAGCAAUGCCGCGUGAGUGAAGAAGGCCUUCGGGUUGUAAAGCUCUUUUGUCAGGGAAGAAACGGUAGUAGCGAAUAACUAUUACUAAUGACGGUACCUGAAGAAUAAGCACCGGCUAACUACGUGCCAGCAGCCGCGGUAAUACGUAGGGUGCAAGCGUUAAUCGGAAUUACUGGGCGUAAAGCGUGCGCAGGCGGUUGUGUAAGUCAGAUGUGAAAUCCCCGGGCUCAACCUGGGAAUUGCAUUUGAGACUGCACGGCUAGAGUGUGUCAGAGGGGGGUAGAAUUCCACGUGUAGCAGUGAAAUGCGUAGAUAUGUGGAGGAAUACCGAUGGCGAAGGCAGCCCCCUGGGAUAACACUGACGCUCAUGCACGAAAGCGUGGGGAGCAAACAGGAUUAGAUACCCCGGUAGUCCCAUG
This 475-nucleotide ribosomal RNA is filed under the name uncultured organism. Its description in RNAcentral is "partial 16S ribosomal RNA". It matches the Rfam family "Bacterial small subunit ribosomal RNA", at positions 333 to 799 of the family's 1533-position model. The record is from RNAcentral.